Molecule: ribosomal RNA, 463 nt
Filed under: uncultured bacterium
Lineage: Bacteria
Description: partial 16S ribosomal RNA
Rfam family: Bacterial small subunit ribosomal RNA
Source: RNAcentral
ACGCUGGCGGCGUGCUUAACACAUGCAAGUCGAACGGAAAGGCCCAAGCUUGCUUGGGUACUCGAGUGGCGAACGGGUGAGUAACACGUGGGUGAUCUGCCCUGCACUUCGGGAUAAGCCUGGGAAACUGGGUCUAAUACCGGAUAGGACGAUGGUUUGGAUGCCAUUGUGGAAAGUUUUUUCGGUGUGGGAUGAGCUCGCGGCCUAUCAGCUUGUUGGUGGGGUAAUGGCCUACCAAGGCGUCGACGGGUAGCCGGCCUGAGAGGGUGUACGGCCACAUUGGGACUGAGAUACGGCCCAGACUCCUACGGGAGGCAGCAGUGGGGAAUAUUGCACAAUGGGCGCAAGCCUGAUGCAGCGACGCCGCGUGGGGGAUGACGGCCUUCGGGUUGUAAACUCCUUUCGCUAGGGACGAAGCGUUUUUGUGACGGUACCUGGAGAAGAAGCACCGGCUAACUACGUG